CCCUCAUUUCACUUUUUUUUACGUUUUUCUUGGAUUACUGCCAUGGCUUCUCUCUCUCCAUCGAAGAUUUGACGUCCUCCACUGUCGCGCCACCGCCGCCGCUCGCGUCGCACAAGCUCCCUCCACAACCGCUCUCAUCGCGUUUGCUCCCUUCAUCACCAUUGUCGCACGAGCUCUCUCCGUCGUGCUCUUGUCUUACGAGCUCCCUCUGCCGCCGCUCUCGACGCUGCUUCUUCUCUCCUCGCCAGAGGUUUGUCAUCGUCUCUUCUCAUCACUGUUAGUUCAGUUGAAAAUCAAAGAAUACGAUCCAGGAGAGCUCUUAUGUUUGCAAAUCAGCUGUUGCUGCUGCAGAGAACUGAGUUUCUAAAUUCUAAGUGAAACAUGAUUGUGUGUUUCGUGCUGACUUGGAUUUAAAUGAAAUAACCUAUGUAUUAGGGGUAUAAGAAGCUUCCUCUCCCCACUU
Arachis ipaensis is the source of this 463-nucleotide non-coding RNA. Lineage: Eukaryota; Viridiplantae; Streptophyta; Magnoliopsida; Fabales; Fabaceae. The record is from RefSeq and is a predicted model, not a curated record.